This is a long non-coding RNA of Danio aesculapii, 528 nucleotides long. RefSeq lists it as uncharacterized. The record is from RefSeq and is a predicted model, not a curated record. The transcript is spliced from 3 exons. Lineage: Eukaryota; Metazoa; Chordata; Actinopteri; Cypriniformes; Danionidae.
UCUGUCUGAAACUGAUAAAAAUGGUGAUGGAGUUUUUCCAGAGUCUCGCUCAUAGUCAGUAGCAAAACAAAGGGAGACAGAGCGGAAUUUUGCAGGCGUCCAACACUGUAGGCAUUUUCGUAGCGUGAAAAUGAGAUUCUAUUGUAGCGCAUCUCAAAGUUUCAGUCCAUGUUUUUCACCAGACAGACAGACAGUUCAUUAAUUCACAGGCAGGAUUAUCAUUCUUGUACCUUCCGAUGACCUCGGAGUUGUCACCAAGUCAGCUACCCUUAAAGGUGAUGCCAGUGUUGUGCUGCCGUGCUGAUGGAUAGUGAAGAAGAAGAACAGAGAUGGUGCAUCUGCAGAGGUGUGAUACAGGUAGUAAUAAUAAUGUAAUUGUAUGUAUAUACUGUAUUUCUUAACUGCAUUACACUGUCCUUCACUGUUUUAGAGUACUACACUCCAAUCUAUAUUCCCACUGUGUCAACGAAUGCAAAACAAAUAGCAAGUCCUAAAUACUACAACAUUACCAGUUCAACAAGUUAAUGA